Molecule: ribosomal RNA, 1394 nt
Filed under: Kocuria rosea
Lineage: Bacteria; Bacillati; Actinomycetota; Actinomycetes; Micrococcales; Micrococcaceae
Description: bacterial SSU rRNA
Rfam family: Bacterial small subunit ribosomal RNA
Source: RNAcentral
AGUCGAACGAUGAUGCCCAGCUUGCUGGGCGGAUUAGUGGCGAACGGGUGAGUAAUACGUGAGUAACCUGCCCUUGACUCUGGGAUAAGCCUGGGAAACUGGGUCUAAUACUGGAUACUACCUCUUACCGCAUGGUGGGUGGUGGAAAGGGUUUUACUGGUUUUGGAUGGGCUCACGGCCUAUCAGCUUGUUGGUGGGGUAAUGGCUCACCAAGGCGACGACGGGUAGCCGGCCUGAGAGGGUGACCGGCCACACUGGGACUGAGACACGGCCCAGACUCCUACGGGAGGCAGCAGUGGGGAAUAUUGCACAAUGGGCGGAAGCCUGAUGCAGCGACGCCGCGUGAGGGAUGACGGCCUUCGGGUUGUAAACCUCUUUCAGUAGGGAAGAAGCGAGAGUGACGGUACCUGCAGAAGAAGCGCCGGCUAACUACGUGCCAGCAGCCGCGGUAAUACGUAGGGCGCAAGCGUUGUCCGGAAUUAUUGGGCGUAAAGAGCUCGUAGGCGGUUUGUCGCGUCUGCUGUGAAAGCCCGGGGCUCAACCCCGGGUCUGCAGUGGGUACGGGCAGACUAGAGUGCAGUAGGGGAGACUGGAAUUCCUGGUGUAGCGGUGAAAUGCGCAGAUAUCAGGAGGAACACCGAUGGCGAAGGCAGGUCUCUGGGCUGUUACUGACGCUGAGGAGCGAAAGCAUGGGGAGCGAACAGGAUUAGAUACCCUGGUAGUCCAUGCCGUAAACGUUGGGCACUAGGUGUGGGGGACAUUCCACGUUUUCCGCGCCGUAGCUAACGCAUUAAGUGCCCCGCCUGGGGAGUACGGCCGCAAGGCUAAAACUCAAAGGAAUUGACGGGGGCCCGCACAAGCGGCGGAGCAUGCGGAUUAAUUCGAUGCAACGCGAAGAACCUUACCAAGGCUUGACAUUCACCGGACCGCCCCAGAGAUGGGGUUUCCCUUCGGGGCUGGUGGACAGGUGGUGCAUGGUUGUCGUCAGCUCGUGUCGUGAGAUGUUGGGUUAAGUCCCGCAACGAGCGCAACCCUCGUUCUAUGUUGCCAGCACGUGAUGGUGGGGACUCAUAGGAGACUGCCGGGGUCAACUCGGAGGAAGGUGGGGAUGACGUCAAAUCAUCAUGCCCCUUAUGUCUUGGGCUUCACGCAUGCUACAAUGGCCGGUACAAAGGGUUGCGAUACUGUGAGGUGGAGCUAAUCCCAAAAAGCCGGUCUCAGUUCGGAUUGAGGUCUGCAACUCGACCUCAUGAAGUCGGAGUCGCUAGUAAUCGCAGAUCAGCAACGCUGCGGUGAAUACGUUCCCGGGCCUUGUACACACCGCCCGUCAAGUCACGAAAGUUGGUAACACCCGAAGCCGGUGGCCUAACCCCUUGUGGGAGGGAGCCGUCGAA